UUCAGUUUGGACCCCGCUUCCCUCCCUUGUUCGUCCAUCCGUCACAAUGGUCACACGGCGGCUCCCAAACCCUAAACAGCGGUGGUGCCCCUACGCUUCAGCCUCGACUCAGUAUUCCCCCUUCCCCGCUUCGACAAGUCUCGUCCCCCGCCCCCUUAUUCCAUUACAAGCAACUCCGCCGGUGCCACCGCUGCUGGUGGGACAGGCCGCCGCCGCCGCUGCUGGUGGGACCUACCGCCUCGCGCUCCGCAUCCAGCGCCGCCUCAUCCCGCCCAACCACCCCAGGAUACGGGACUUCGUCUACAGGUACUGCCUUCGCCGAGCCCCGCUGUCGUGCGUCCGCGCUCAGGACGCCGUCGGUCACUGCCAGCCAAACAGGAUCAGCGCGAGCAGCCAGUGCAGGCACAUCUCCUACUCCUACGCCCCGUUCCCGUCGGUCACUGCCAGGAGGAAGGGUGUCUUCCGCGAGGACAUUGCACAGCUGAUGGUAUGUCUGAUGUGUCUUGGUUUAAUAAUAAAGAAGCGAGCGAGCGCAGAGGAAAUUGUCACUGCUGCUGCGGUUUAGGAUGGAGUAAUAUUUUAGCCUUGAUUUUGACAUCCUUUUUUGCAGAGUAGUGGAUCAACAUUAUUCAAAAUUUUGCUCAUGACGUCUGAUAUGUGGACAGUUGCCAUUCAAGUUUUACUCUAUCAUCAAUAGGUGAAGAUUCCUGAUCCAGAAUACUUGUGUAAGAUUAUUAACAUGUUACCCAAUAAUAAUCUUACAUAAUUUGGCCCAACCCAAAGAUACGUUAAUUUAAACUCCCUAGAUUAUUUUGUGGAAUCCCAACAGAGUUUAUUCAUUUGCUUGUACUCUAUGAAGUGGAAGUUCUUGAGAUGCCAAAAAGCAGGGAAGUGCGGACAUAACAGUCAAGAUGAGCUACUUAAAAGUGAGGAUAAUUCAAAGGAGCGUGGUAUCCCGAGAAUAUGAACACUCCAGAGAUGCAAUAUUUGAGGUUAGUAUGCAGUAGUCGAGCCUGUUCAUAGUUUAUUGUUCCUGUUUUCUAAUCUUGGUCUUAUGACUAAUAAUUUUUAAUGAGUGGUUCUAACUGGACUGCAUCCAAAUGUAGUCAUUGGCUAAGCCAAAAUUUGAAUUUCAUAAAGUAACUAAGAUCGGUGUUUGUCCGGAUUGUGACAAGGCUGUAGCUUUCCCCUUAAUCGAUCAGACCAUAUCCUAGGAUUAAGGAUGUGCAACAGAACCCUUUUGUUGUCGACGAUAUCAAUGAGCUUCGGUUUUUUUCACAUCCAUAACUAUAUACCAAGCCUUUCUGCCACAUUUGCAAGCCACACCAUCGCUAUGAAUAGAAAAACUAUUAUGCUAGAUCCAUCUUCUAUCCGCAUAUCAUAACCAUAACGGGUCCUUCAAAAUUUAUUUGUGACCUUUAUGCUUUGAUAUUUGAUUGGUAAGGGUCUACAGGAUCUUAUGACCUUAUUUACCAUCGCUCUGAGUUCGCAAGGCAUAAAUAUUAUGGUUCUUGUGAACUCAUCCUCCUACAUGUAACAUGUCGAGUGAAGCCCAAGCCUGGCCCAACAAGGAGUCAUGUUCUUUGCAGAACAACAAUAGAUAGAUGCCAUUUAAACUAAGUUGAUGGUUGUUUCAAUAUAACACUUGAAAGAACAGACCCAAGGAUGUAAACUCAAGUGUUACUACCCCUCAUGCAAAACUCAAACUAACAAGAAGAUGGUCUCCCCAAAGGCAGUUGCUCACAGAAAAUUUUUGGGCAACUCAAUCUGGUAUACCAUCACAUGUCACCAAGGUGCUAUUUCAAAUCAAAACAAGUUAAAAAUGUACAUCUAACAAAGAUACCAUUGUCAGAUCUUUAUACAACACAACACACCAAUGUUGCUAUUCAAAAACUGUUGCUACCUGCCUAGAGCCCAGUUCUCCAACCUUUCCAUGUCCGGGGCUGGGUGCCUGGGUCUGCGUUAAUGCUGGACAGCAGCUUGUGAUUGUUUAGUGUCUGAAAACUCUAGCAAAAGUCUGGUGGCAAACAAGGUUCUCAAUUUAGACAUAUCACUGUGUGGUAGCGUUUGCUCCUUAAUUCUAUUUCUAAAACAUCUGCUUAUUGGUGUCCAUGUGCUGGUUCAUAUGCAAUGAUGUUCUUUGUUUGUGAUGGAAUCUUAUGAUUUUGCUAAAAUGUGCAUUGUUUUAGUGGUACUUCCAAACAGUGGCCACUAACCAUCAUGGUGAGGAUGCAUCAUCAGUAGCAGUCAGAAGUAAGAAAGGCUUAAAGACGAUUAGACAUACCACUAUGUUUAUUUACUAUACUAUUAUUUUGAUGUACUAAAUGAUUUCAUUUGAGUUAUUUUGGUGUUUUGAUGGCAUAUGGAGGCCUCCAAGAUUUUUUGACUGAAAAGAAAGAUUUAACAAUUACAUUGAUCAGGAACCGGAUUCUCCCAUUAUAUUCUUUGGAUCCUUGCAGCCCAUAUUUGAUUUCAAUGGCUAAUUGGGUUAUUGGUCAGCUUGCGAUAUGCCUACCAGAGGACAUGAGUUCUAGUAUUUAUCAGUCCUUAAUGAAGGCGUUGACCAUGGAGUAUGUGGAGGACAUAACUUGUUAUCCGGUUUGUGCCUCUGCUUCUGGUGCUAUUGCAGAACUCAUCGAGAAUAGUUAUGUUCCACCUGACUGGCUCAUUCUUCUGCAAGUGGUUCUGAAAAGAAUAAGUACUGGAGAUGAAAAUGAGUCUGCUCUUCUGUUCAAGCUUCUGGGCACAAUAGUUGAGGGUGGACAGGAAAAAGUUGUUUCAUAUUCCUGAAAUUGUAUCCAACAUUGCGAGUACUAUAAUGGAGCUCCUGCCCCCUGUCCCAGAUCCUUGGCCUCAGGUAGUAGUGCAUAUUUCUUCUGUGUGGUCAAUAUUUUGGUACUUUGUGCAUGGAGUACAAUCACCAUGCCUGCUUUUAAUCUUAUGAUCAGUUAUUACUUUCAUGUUAACAAUAUCGUUUCCAUCCAUUGACAAUUUAUGGAUUAGCUGAUUCCUAUACACAUUGGUACUAAAAAUUGGACAUAAAAAUAUUAAACUAACUUGUAAACCUAUUUGAAUAGAAUAAUACCAUACAAUACAUUUGGAAGUACUGACUGUUUACUUUUUUAUACAGAAAUGCAUGUUUCCCCAGUCAUGCUUGGACGAUCACCUUUCAUCAUAUCCCAUUAUUCCUGGUGUAUUUUAUUCCUUGAGGAAAUCCCAACCACACUAUUUAAUAUAUCUGCCAUGUAGGUUGUUGAACAGGGUUUCACAGCCCUCGUAGCAAUGGUGCAAGCUUGGGAGAGCUCUGCACCAGAUGAAAACAAGACACCUAAAAAGAGGUUCUGGCAGUCAGGCCAGUCUGCUAUUGCCCAAACAAUUUCAUUACUGUUACAAAAAGCUUGGUUGUUUCAAGCUGACAAUAUGGAGGGCUCUGCAUUACCACCUCUGUCAUGCGUAAACGAUGCUUCUGUGUUACUUGAGUUUGUCAUGAGUUCUGUCACUUGCAUGGAAGAAACUGAAAGUCUGAAGGUCUUUGAGCUGGUAGCUACAUGGGCUAACGCUGUUGCCAACUGGGACUCCUGGGAGAUGGAGGAUCAGGGUGUUUUCAACACAAUUAAAGAAGCUGUCAAUUUCCACCAGAGAUUUGACCUCGACGGUCUCUUCCUGAAAACGCACUUUGUGAGAUGUCAUUCCACUAGCUAAAAGUUUGCAGAAAUGGCACCAUCAAGAUCGGUCUGGAGACCAACAAGAUCAUGGACUUCAUCAAGUUUGAUGUCGGCAACGUGGUCAUGAUGACCGGUGGGAGGAACACCAGGCGUGUAGGAGUGAUCAAGAACAGGGAGAAGCACAAGGGCAACUUCGAGACCAUCCACGUGCUGCUUAGAGCUUUUUGCUAUGUCUAGUUUUCUCCUAUUUGUUGUAUAGGAAAACAUAGAAUGGAAUUCAAAUUUGGUGGCCGCAAAAUAUGGAGACUUGAAUUCAUAUAAAGUUAGGCUUAACAUUAGUGCAAACAAUUGUAUUUUAGUUUAGAUUUAGAGUACACUUAUGUAUGUGUUGUUUGACAAUGCUUAUUUAUGAUAUAUUGAAUGGUACUUAUUUA
RNA transcript from Zea mays, 4099 nucleotides. It is a transcript of the gene named ARM repeat superfamily protein, with no coding region annotated. NCBI's taxonomy places the organism in Eukaryota, Viridiplantae, Streptophyta, Magnoliopsida, Poales, Poaceae. The transcript is spliced from 7 exons. The record is from RefSeq and is a predicted model, not a curated record.